AGUAAACCUCUUUAUUUAUUGGUUAUUUCGGUUCAUUAUUUUGCCUUUAAAUGGUUACAUGCUUCCUUGUUCAUACUAGCAUUAUAUUCCACAUUAUGUCCAUGGGCUAACAAAAUACUCUGUUCAGUGUAUCAGAUUACUAGUUACUUCAAUCAAUUUCUCAUCAAACUCAUAUGAUAUUUGUGACAGUAGGAUUGAUCUUAACACCAUAUUUUGUUGUCAUAGCAGGAGAUUGUGUUUAUUUGUUCUGCUCAAUUUUGAUGAUAAGUUUAUAGUCAUGGUAUAUUGUAUAUAAAGUUGAGUGUUUCGUAUUUGAAGCAUAGCACAUUAUGACCUUCAAAAUCAUGCAAUUUGUAAUUUUCAUUAAGCAUUUCAGCCUCAUGAACUGAAUGGCAAUACCAUGCACAAGAUGAAUAAUGCAUAUUCAAACAUUUUCCCUAGCCUUUAUCUCGUCAAAAUAAGAUCAAUGACAGUUAUGGAUCGUAAGGCUUGUUGUCUUCAAAGAUAUAAAGCCCAUCACAAUUUCAACCUCCCUUUUCUUGUCAUUUUGGACACUGGCACACAGUCUAGUAUACACCUUUGCGUAUCAUUGUUUAUAUUGAUUUGUAGCAAAAGAAACAUUUAAAAGAUAGUGAGAUGAAAGUAUGUUAUUCCGACAAACCAAGUAAUAGUAUUCACAAAUGAGAGAUCCCACUACUUCUUUCUGUAUAAGAGUGUUAGGGGGUCAAAGUGUUGAAAUGUUGAUUGCUAAACAUCAAUACGUGGCAGACUCCUACUGUCAUUUACCAGCAGAGAAGAUUCUUUCUUAUCUUGGUAACAUUUUAUACAUUUCCCUGUCUGUUCCUACACAUAUUAUGAUGCACAAAAUCUUAGAGAGCUGAUUAAGAAGUAGGUAUACUCACCUUUUCCUCGUAACUUCACACCUUGCAUUUUUUUUAUGAUGCACGAAAUCUUAGAGAGCUGAUUAUGAAGUAGGUAUACUCACCUUUUCUUCGUAACUUCACACCUUGCAUUUUUCUUAUUCUUCACUACAUAAGAAAUAUAUGUACAAAUUAUAUAUAUCCAUGAUUUCUGGCAAACCAUUCUUAUCUCUCUCACUGACUUCAUGAACUACACUUUACGGUAAUCCACAUUUGGUUAUAUAUAUUUUUGGUUAACAUAUUUCUAUUUUACUGCUAAAGUGCUAUUGAUCCUUUUUGC
RNAcentral lists this long non-coding RNA (1200 nucleotides) under Brachypodium distachyon (stiff brome). Its description in RNAcentral is "long non-coding RNA (BDIS_LNC001759)". Lineage: Eukaryota; Viridiplantae; Streptophyta; Magnoliopsida; Poales; Poaceae. The record is from RNAcentral.